GGAUUCAGGAGCUGAGCCUGGGAGACCAAGAUGCCCCAUCCAACUUCUACCAGUGAGUUCUAAGACCUUGGACCUUAGGAAGCCCGGGAGGGACCGGCCCCAGGAGCAUAAGGGGGUUCAGUUUCCCAGGAAGCCAUCCUGGGUAGCUCCUCAGGGUAUUCUCCCCACUGCUGCAACUCAGGGCAGCUGCUGGAGGUGGGUAGGUGGGAGGCAGCUUCGAAAGCCUGGGUCCUAGAUGGGGGUGUCACCCUCCAGCUACCACAGUAAUGCCUUGAGUGUCUGCCAAGUUCCCCUGUGGAUAGUCAGGAAUGUUUCCCCUUUCCCAGGGCAUCCGUUCAUCAGAGGCUUGGGAUCUCUCUCACCAGACCUGGGAACAGUGAACUGGAAGAGAGACCAGCUUCUCCAAAGUCCCUGAACCUCCCUGCCUUGGAAUCAACGUCAAGAGACGGUGGUUCCCCCCUCACUGUGGAAAGUGACAUGGACCUCACGGCCAAUCUGCUGCCCUCUGGUGGGAUGCACUCCCAUCAGCUCACCUUUCGGACCCCAGUUACUGAGAGCAUUCUUGGCCCACAUUUGCCCAAUCCCUCACUUCCUGGGAGCCCUACUUCACAGGCCCAGGAUAAGGAAGAGGUCAGCUCAUGCCCCUUUGGGUCUAAGGCCCUGAGCCUCACAUCUACUUUACCCUUCAGCUUGGGUACCAGCCGGUCCAUCUUCUUGGAACCCCAGAAGCCGUUGAGGGGAGACCCUGCACCUGAGAAAUGCUGGGGUCAGGCACACCUGUGGGCAGGGACUCCCAGUCUGAACACAAACUCUAGACUAGGUCCUGUGCCUACCACUCUGCCCUGGGUUCGGGAUAAACCCUGGACCUUGCCUACUGACUCCUCUAUGUUGCAGAGGGAGAUACCUGAGGCUCCUAGGGCCCCUUCCAUUCCUGUGGAAAUGAUGGUCAGCAAAGAUCCAACAGGAAUAACCCCUAGGGGGCAGGGAGAGCCCUUGGACUUAGGGGCUGAGCUCCAGGGAAGGGAGCAGGAGGGGGUAUCCUCAGAGGGACCUGGAGAGGAUGAGGAUAGACCAGUGGACAGUAGGGCCAGUUUAAGUGGGGGAGACUGCAAGAGGGACAGUCAAAAGCUAAAACUGGGUCAGGAGCAUUGGGUCAGUUCCCUGAAGCCCUCUGUGGAAGAUAGCUAUGGGCGCCAAGUAAGGGAGGCAGGCUGCAUGCUUCUGGAAUGGUUUCGAUGCCUCUUCCUGGACAGUGACAAUCACAGUUUCUCCUUGCUCGACUCUGGCCUGGCCUUGACCACUGGUGGCCUUACCGUGAAUGCUGGCAGCCAGGAACACCCUGCUCUGCGUGUGGCCUUCCUAACUAUGAGGAAUGGCAGGAAGCUAGGCAUGGCAUUCCCUGGUUCCAACCUCUUCUACUACUACUCCCUGGGCCGUAACUUCUUUGUCACUGCUCAGCUCAGCAGCCACUGGUUCCGAGUUCGAGACCGUGUUACUGGUGAGCAGAUGCUGAUGAAGAAGGUGCCUGUGGUCUCCGAUUGGCAGAAGAUGCUUCAUCACUUCCUCUUCCUUCCACCGGGGCCGGGACUGCUGGUACCCUACGCAGUCCUCUAUGACCGCCAGGGCUCCCUGCUCUACCUUAUGGAGGACCCUGGAGUUCUAACUGUGGGGUGGCCACCAGCAGGUCAUCGGCUGGACAGACUGAAGUGCCUCCUGGAGAUUCUCAGGUUCCUACAGUUCUGCCAGCAGCACGGCUUGCAGCUUGAGGAAGUGGACUCAGGCCUGCUUUACACCCACCAGGUACAGAUGCCUCCCCAUCUGGAGGCUCUUAGAACCCCGGUUUUGGGGGAGGGGAAGCUGAUUGGCCAGGAAGAAGGGAAGAUUUGGGAGACCACUGCCUCCCUCUUUCAUUUUCACCUCCUGAGCUCUGUUGGUACCCCUCUUUCCCUCCAGGGAAUCUGUUUUGACCCCAGUGGACUUGGCAGCAAUGAAGGACCUUAUGUUUUUAGAAAGACUUUGAGAAAUGCACUCCGGCUGGCGUGGAACACCCCACAGGACACCCCUGCAGCGGAAGCCCUGUUGGAACAGAUGUGGAGGUGGUUGGAGGAAGACAUCAGGGGCGAUGAAGAGGACCUGGAGGAGGCCAGGACUUCUUCUCUUGACCACCCUGGCAUCCCAUGAACGGAGGCCCCUGACACACCUCAGGGAACAGCGGGACACAGCACUUUAUAGCAGCAAAGCACUCUGACCUCGUAAAGUCAGAGUUGUCUCUCCAGAUUGUUUUUCACUGCCCAUUUCAUGGAUGGGAGACAGCUUACUCUCAGGUCACCCCGGCUGGCCUGGGGCUACUCCAACGUGAAACAUAAGCAUCCUGAUUCCAGGCAUACCCAGGGACCAGCUCCUGUUUUCUUCCUGAUCUGCCUUAUGGGGGGAGAACGCUGGGUCACUCUCAGGACUUUGCCCAGGGACAUGCUGGUCACAUCUUUACUCUCAAGGAACCCCAGUGCUCACAUGCUGAGCACCCCAGCUCAGACUUCCUCACCUCAGGGUUAAGGUCCUGGGUUCUCCACCCCAGUGGCUCCCUGCUCCAAGAACUUGGAGGAGAGGGCUACUUGCCCUACCCCAAGAUACACAGGUAGGCUGGGAUCUCCUCAGCCCCUCACAGAAGUGCCCGUGGUAGGCAGGCCACCAGGGUUUUCCGGAAGAGAAGGGAACAUAGCUGGGGGCCACCAUGGUGCUGUUUUUAUUUGGAAAAUAAAUUCCCAUGGAAAACACUGCCCCUCUUCUUU
This is a long non-coding RNA of Phascolarctos cinereus (koala), 2789 nucleotides long. NCBI's taxonomy places the organism in Eukaryota, Metazoa, Chordata, Mammalia, Diprotodontia, Phascolarctidae. The record is from Ensembl.